GACAGAGGGUGCAAACGUUGUUCGGAAUUACUGGGCGUAAAGCGCGUGUAGGCGGCUAUGCAAGUCGGAUGUGAAAGCCCUCGGCUCAACCGGGGAAGUGCACCCGAAACUGCAAAGCUAGAGUCUCGGAGAGGAUCGUGGAAUUCUCGGUGUAGAGGUGAAAUUCGUAGAUAUCGAGAGGAACACCGGUGGCGAAGGCGGAUCUCUGGGCCAUUACUGACGCUGAGGAGCGAAAGCGUGGGGAGCGAACAGG
This 253-nucleotide ribosomal RNA is filed under the name uncultured bacterium. RNAcentral's name for it is "partial 16S ribosomal RNA". It matches the Rfam family "Bacterial small subunit ribosomal RNA", at positions 524 to 776 of the family's 1533-position model. The record is from RNAcentral.